GCGCGUAGUUGGCCGGGCCUUCUUCUGGAGGUACCGUCAUUUCGUCCCUCCUGAAAGCGGUUUACAACCCAAGGCCUUCAUCCCGCACGCGGUGUCGCUGCAUCAGGCUUUCGCCCAUUGUGCAAUAUUCCCU
RNAcentral lists this ribosomal RNA (133 nucleotides) under uncultured bacterium. Its description in RNAcentral is "partial 16S ribosomal RNA". The record is from RNAcentral.